RNAcentral lists this transfer RNA (69 nucleotides) under Rattus norvegicus (Norway rat). It matches the Rfam family "tRNA". Rfam says of the family: Transfer RNA (tRNA) molecules are approximately 80 nucleotides in length. Lineage: Eukaryota; Metazoa; Chordata; Mammalia; Rodentia; Muridae. The record is from Rfam by way of RNAcentral.
GGGGAUUUAGCUCAGUGGUAGAGCGCUUGCCUAGGAAGCGCAAGGCCCUGGGUUCGAUCCCCAGCCCCG